RNAcentral lists this long non-coding RNA (448 nucleotides) under Carica papaya (papaya). Its description in RNAcentral is "long non-coding RNA (CPAP_LNC001300)". Lineage: Eukaryota; Viridiplantae; Streptophyta; Magnoliopsida; Brassicales; Caricaceae. The record is from RNAcentral.
ACGAAGAAAAAUAGGUAGAUGAUGAAAUUGAAAAUAAUUUUAGAAAAAAUGGGUGAAAAUUUGGGUUCUAGGGUAUUUUUAAAAGAAAAAUCAGAAACUGUGAGUUAAAAUAUAAUUUAAGAAAUGUGUCACAUAGGAUGCCCAGUCUACAGCCCCGACGAAUUGGAGCGCGCUGUGUGGCAAGGCACAUUGGCGCGGUGCCAUGCAGAAGGCCACGCUGGCAAUCUGCAUGACCGCGAUCGAACGGUCCAGAUUUGUUUCUGCGCGUGUAGACGGUCCGGAUCUGUUUCUCUUUUAAACACAAUCGUAGGAUCCAGAUCAAAUCAAGAUGAACAGUUUAGAUUCACUUUCUUUUUAAACAUGAUCGGACGGUCUAGAUCAAACACUAUGGACGGUACAGAUUAAAAAGAGACGGAUAUAAAUAUCCCACUUUACACCAAACCCUAAC